Molecule: non-coding RNA, 3229 nt
Organism: Sesamum indicum (sesame)
Lineage: Eukaryota; Viridiplantae; Streptophyta; Magnoliopsida; Lamiales; Pedaliaceae
Source: RefSeq, a predicted model, not a curated record
CGUAACUAUAUUCAUAUGAGCAAAAUGUAACGGGCCAAGAGCCCAAUACACGACCAAGGUCGUCAUGCAGAUCUACACAUUCUUCAGCUGUACAUACAUAUCCGGAUAUUUGUGUGUUACACUUCAAUGUAUGUCGGCGUCGUACUAUGUAUGGGUUGGAAUGGGAGGUGAACUCGGGUAUGUUUUUUUGUUUAUGCUCCAUGUAGGGCGUGCGGUUUGGAGGCCCAAAUUCUACUUGUAUUGAGAUUUGCUGAUGAGUUGAAAGUGAACCAAGUGUUGGAUUUGAACGUGAAUAAGUUGGGGUUGGUUAUAUGAUUCGGAUGGUCGGUUUUGGGAUGGUGGAGGUGGAGCGCAGUGGCCGCUCUAGCAUACCGCCAGCGUCCCAGUUUCUGUGUAUUGGCAAUUGGAAAUUUGGAAUUGAAUUCGGGUGGUUGAUUGCCUGAAAUUUCAAAAGAGAAGAUUGAAAGUCGGUCUUUUGGUGGUCGAUCUACUACUAGUAGAUGUGGGUCCGUGGUCACCUUUUUUAGUGCAUGAUUAGGGAUGUGGUGGCUGCUGUUAUUUUGCAAGAAACAAUAAAGAAGAAGGAAGACAAAGAAAAGCUGAAAGAAAAUGGGGGGGUGGGGGUGGGGGAGGGAGAGAGACAGACGGAGACUGGACCAAAACGAAAAGGGAGAAGAGGAGGAAGAAGAAAAACAAUGUAUGCUGGGUUAUUACGGUGCAACACAGAAUCACGUUUAGCCACAAUAUCUCACAAGGGUCCAUGCGAAGGCAAGCAUAUUGAAAACUGCAGAGUUUGUGCAUCAUAUUUCAACUAAUGUUGGGACUUCUAGCAUUAUAAGGUAUUUGGAGCUUCUGUGUUGGGAUUCACAGUAUAAGGUAAUUGCAUGUCUGUAAUGAAAAUAAUGUUGAAUAAUGCAACUCUUAUUAAAUUAAGGAAGUUUCUAAAGUUCCAGGCUGUCCGUGAUGCGACGCACUGGACCAUAAACUUCAAAUGUACAAGUCUAUUCUCUGGCUUUGUUUGGUAAGGAGCCUAGCUCUCAACAAUAUCCAUAUGGUUAAGAUGUAGAGUGAAAUUUACGAAAUAGGAGAUUGCCAAAACUAUUAUCAAGCAUAUUAUCCAUAAUUAUGAGCCGCAUACACUGCAUACUUCAUUUAAAGUAUUCCUUUGUUAUCAGGUGUGCAUUUUGUUUCACAUAUUGUUAACAUAGUUUCUAUUUGUUGAUGAUGACUAAUGCUUACUGAAGGCCCCAGGUUGAGAAUAUAUUGAGAUAUUAUCAAUACAUUCUGUCAAGAUUGUGCUAUGCACCAGUUAAUAAACUUGCUGUAGGAAUAGAUUUACUGAUAAAUGAGAAAGAUCAGCCUGAAAUCAGUAAUGAGUUUAGGCAGAAAUAAUCUGAACCCUUCUGAUUUGACUUUGUUGACGGAAUAUGUGCAAUAAGAGAAUAUAUAUAUUCAUGUGUCCAUAUAUGAGUAUUUGAUAAAAUUGUGUGAAUUGACUAUUGAGUCAUAGCACAGCAGAACUAUAUGGAAAGUAGUGUAUGCUCAUUUUGCUAUUAGCUCUUUUUAAGUUAGUGCAUUGUUUCUGAAUUGACUAAGUACACGGAAACCCUUCUUUUACAAAUACUUUGUUAUUAACUGCACUGGCUUCCCCAUUAAUUAUUGUUGAGUUACCAGGAACAUUGGAUACAACCUGCAUUCUGAUAGCUGCUUUAUUUUGUUUGAUCUUUUCAUCCAAGGACGCACAUGAUCAAGUCUGUUGUUUAUAUAUAUGUCUUUAUCUGGUAAUGAGAUUGGUGGGGAUUUUGAUGAUUAUUCUCCCCGGUUAUCCUGUGAGACUGCAACACAGCCUUCCACUGUCAUUUUGUCAAGACUUGAUUCUUGAUACCCAGGUUGCUGGGCACCUUUUAGACAAUGUGACAAGUUCUCUGAUUCUUUUCCAAAUGACGUUGGAAGUUGACGUUUUUUUAUCACAUCUUUGAACGUUUCAUAAUUUGGUUUCUCUUUUUCCAAGGAUAUAAAAAACUUUUUGCCCUUUUUAUGAUUGUUACUUAGCUUUAUCAUGUCAUGAGAACCUGUUGAUUUUAUUUUUGCAACUUUUUUAUGUUACAUAUCUAUAUGAAUCUUUUGAGGUCGAAUCGAUUCUAUUCUGAUGCAAGCAAAUAAAUUGAACAAGCCCAGUUCUAAAUUUCAUUCCUAAUGCCGUGCCUGUGCAUUAGUGGGAAAUGCAUUCCCAGAACUCGAAGAUAGGAUUCUCGCUUCAUUUUAUUCAUAAAAUGUAUUUCAUAAGUGCUUUAUACUAACUUGCGUGUAUCAUAUAAUUUGGACGUUAAUUUUAUUAUUUUCUAUAAUAAUUGUUGCAAAAAAUAAUGAUGCUGAUUAUGAGGAACUUGAUAUAUUAAAUAGAUUUGUAGUUGAUGCGUGGAAAUUUUGACUUCCUCAGAGCAAUCAUUUGGCAUCAGAGUUAAUGAUUGGAGCUGUGGAGUUUGGUUAACCUGGCCGAACCGAAAUUUCAGAUUUCGGUUUUCGGUUUUAUAAAGAAAAAUCAGUUUGAAAUGGUCGUUAUUUUUUCGUAGUUCGAUUACCAAACCGAACUAUAUGUUUAAAUUAUGUAAUGUGAGAAAUGAGAAUUGAGUCCAUUGAGUCUGACUAUUGAAAUAAUUUUAGAGCUCUCUCACGCGGUAGUGAGAAAAAUUGCUGAACUCCAGAACUCCAUCUUCAAUCUUCACGUCCACGAAUCCAUCGGCACGCGGCACACCUUCGCUCCGACUCCACCAUUAACACUUGCAUGGUCGCAAUUGCUGCUUUGCAUUGUUCCUGGCCUGUACCUUUGAUUGUCGUUCAAAGUAUUUUCCCUGCAAUUGUGGAACAAAGUCAUUGUUCUUUCAGUAUUGCCGCUGGGGUAUUCUAGGAACUGGUUGCAGGACUGUGUCUCACCACUGGUCAAUGUUGAGUUAAUGCAACAACGGUAUAGGAUCGUUGCAAAUCAAAAUGCCAUGAUUGUCUAUGUCGGCGAUGAUUGCUCAACUACAGUCUAGAACCAAGCUGCUUUGAGGGGCCUGUGCAUUUUGAAAAGAUGAUUUCCUCUCUGUUUACAUGAAAAAAGUGUAAAGGGACAAGAUUAAUACAACAGGUCCACGUCACAAGCAGGGCCCUCAGGCUGCACGAUUUAUACCUCUGCGGUGUGUGAAUUCUUUCAAAUCCCUAGCCCUGAAAGUGCAGAGACUCUCCG